GUAUAGUAGUGCGUGUGCACAACAGUAAUUUCAUUACAUUCGAGUGUGUGUAAAAAUCCUCUGCCAGCCGAAGCGAGCAAGAGGCCAAAGGUUCACAGGGGUAUUGGAUGAAAGCCACCAACGUGCACUUGCAAGAGCCAGCACCGAAGGCAACCAUUCGCAAUCAUUAAUGAUCCUUCCGCAGGUUCACCUACGGAAA
RNAcentral lists this unclassified non-coding RNA (199 nucleotides) under uncultured fungus. RNAcentral describes it as "sequence contains ITS1". The record is from RNAcentral. Lineage: Eukaryota; Fungi.